Molecule: long non-coding RNA, 842 nt
Organism: Humulus lupulus (European hop)
Lineage: Eukaryota; Viridiplantae; Streptophyta; Magnoliopsida; Rosales; Cannabaceae
Exons: 2
Source: RefSeq, a predicted model, not a curated record
UCCCUUUCUCUCUCCCACCCUACCCGAUCCAUACUUUCCUUUCUCCCUCUCUCUCUCUCUCUCUCUCUCUCUCUCUCUCGUAUGCUCUCUGCUAUUCCCGAACGGCUGCCCUUCGAUGGUCGCCGUCAUGCAGACAUCAGAUCAGGAGUACCAGACACCGUCGAAACUCCAGCCUCGCGAGCCCUUCGUUGCCGUUCUCCGCCGCGAGCAGAAGCCUCCAGGCUCGUACGUCGCUGUCGUGGCUUCAAGGCUAGUUUCUGGCCUCCUCCGACAUCGUCUAAGGCGAAAGGUAGCAUGGGUGAACUCAGGGUAUCAAGACGAACAAAGCCCAGUCAAGGAUCGAGCUUUUAAGUGACCGGAGGAUCGGGCUAAAAUAUUGAUAAGGUUGUUCGUGAGCAUAACCCGAAAGGUAGAGAUGUUGAACUAUUUCGCUGGCAUCUAUAUGGUGAUGGUAAAUUGGUGAUAUUGCUCACUUUUUAUAUGAGUCAGUUACCUGGCUACCACCUGAAUCAUAUUAUAAUGUGCUUAUUUUUAAUCAGAUCUGUGAAUGUUAAUGCUCUGCUCUUAUACUAUCCAAUUUGUCAUCAUAGCCAACUAUUACCUCAUGCUGCAUCAAUUGUACGCCUCAUCUGAGUCUACUUUACGAAGUGUGCAUUUCCAUAAUUGAGGACAAAGAUAUAUUCAAUUAGGAAGAUAUUGUUGCUAUCCAUGGGUGUUGGUAUGCAGUAGUUUCUUCAUAUAUUUUCUGUCUAGUUUUAUUCUUAAUUUUUGUCAAGUUCUAGUGUUCAACUAUCAGACAAUGUUAUAAUUUGAUACUCAUUAAAUCUCUUAAUUAUGUCAAA